AUUGAACGCUGGCGGCAUGCUUUACACAUGCAAGUCGAACGGCAGCGCGGGAUUCGGCCUGGCCUCGUGUUGGCAACGGGCGGGUGAUUCAUCCGUACAUGCCCAGCCUUUGGGGCUGGGAUGGCUACGGCCGGCUUGAUACCACAUCGGAUCAGAUGUUGAACGGGGGGGAUCAAAAGUCCUCGACCGUUUUGAUGGGCCGAUGUGGGAUUAGCUAGUUGGUUGGGUAAAGGCUUACCAAGGCGACGAUCCGUAGCUGAUCUGAGAGGACGACCUGCCACACUGGGACUGAGACACGGCCCAGACUCCUACGGGAGGCAGCAGUGGGGAAUCUUGGACAAUGGGGGCAAGCCUGACCCAGCAAUGCCGCGUGCGGGAAGAAGGCCUUCGGGUUGUAAACCGCUUUUGUUAGGGAAGAAAUCCUGUGGGCUAAUACGCCGGGGGGAUGACGGUACCGGAAGAAUAAGCACCGGCUAACUACGUG
RNAcentral lists this ribosomal RNA (484 nucleotides) under uncultured bacterium. RNAcentral describes it as "partial 16S ribosomal RNA". It matches the Rfam family "Bacterial small subunit ribosomal RNA", at positions 30 to 507 of the family's 1533-position model. The record is from RNAcentral.